This 483-nucleotide long non-coding RNA is filed under the name Rattus norvegicus (Norway rat). RNAcentral describes it as "long non-coding RNA NONRATT028597". The record is from RNAcentral. Lineage: Eukaryota; Metazoa; Chordata; Mammalia; Rodentia; Muridae.
AAACGUGAAAAGCACAGGAGCGGUGUAUGGUGUCUAUGACAUUGAGGGCAGAAGUCUGUUCUCAUUAGACAAAAAUGAAUGGCACAGAAGAACCAGAAAGCCAAACUCUGGCUCAGAAGAUGUCAUCCAUGAAAGCUGGAAGGCAGGAAGAAGAAAUCACUAAGCCCUGUCCUGAAGUAAACAGACAUAACCACCAGGGUAUGGGUCAUGAGUUCCCUUACCUUCCUCUUCCAGCACCAGCCCAGUCGUCCCAGCCUGAAGGUCCAAUUGCAUAAAGGGUUGGAACUUCCUGGGUCAGUGCUUCAACGCUGUCUGUUUGUGGCGGGGCCUUCCCCUCGCUUUCUGCUCCUUAGCAUCCAGAGCCACUUUUGGUGUAGUAGCCCCAGGGUAGGAGUGGGUACUGGGUCUGUGCCCAGGAGAAUGGGUUGAGAGUUCCUAAGCUUUUAAUUUUUUUCAAAUAAAAAUAAAUUUAUUUAAAACUGG